This 1522-nucleotide ribosomal RNA is filed under the name Salmonella enterica subsp. enterica serovar Kedougou. Its description in RNAcentral is "bacterial SSU rRNA". It matches the Rfam family "Bacterial small subunit ribosomal RNA". The record is from RNAcentral. Lineage: Bacteria; Pseudomonadati; Pseudomonadota; Gammaproteobacteria; Enterobacterales; Enterobacteriaceae.
AGAGUUUGAUCAUGGCUCAGAUUGAACGCUGGCGGCAGGCCUAACACAUGCAAGUCGAACGGUAACAGGAAGCAGCUUGCUGCUUUGCUGACGAGUGGCGGACGGGUGAGUAAUGUCUGGGAAACUGCCUGAUGGAGGGGGAUAACUACUGGAAACGGUGGCUAAUACCGCAUAACGUCGCAAGACCAAAGAGGGGGACCUUCGGGCCUCUUGCCAUCAGAUGUGCCCAGAUGGGAUUAGCUUGUUGGUGAGGUAACGGCUCACCAAGGCGACGAUCCCUAGCUGGUCUGAGAGGAUGACCAGCCACACUGGAACUGAGACACGGUCCAGACUCCUACGGGAGGCAGCAGUGGGGAAUAUUGCACAAUGGGCGCAAGCCUGAUGCAGCCAUGCCGCGUGUAUGAAGAAGGCCUUCGGGUUGUAAAGUACUUUCAGCGGGGAGGAAGGUGUUGUGGUUAAUAACCACAGCAAUUGACGUUACCCGCAGAAGAAGCACCGGCUAACUCCGUGCCAGCAGCCGCGGUAAUACGGAGGGUGCAAGCGUUAAUCGGAAUUACUGGGCGUAAAGCGCACGCAGGCGGUCUGUCAAGUCGGAUGUGAAAUCCCCGGGCUCAACCUGGGAACUGCAUUCGAAACUGGCAGGCUUGAGUCUUGUAGAGGGGGGUAGAAUUCCAGGUGUAGCGGUGAAAUGCGUAGAGAUCUGGAGGAAUACCGGUGGCGAAGGCGGCCCCCUGGACAAAGACUGACGCUCAGGUGCGAAAGCGUGGGGAGCAAACAGGAUUAGAUACCCUGGUAGUCCACGCCGUAAACGAUGUCUACUUGGAGGUUGUGCCCUUGAGGCGUGGCUUCCGGAGCUAACGCGUUAAGUAGACCGCCUGGGGAGUACGGCCGCAAGGUUAAAACUCAAAUGAAUUGACGGGGGCCCGCACAAGCGGUGGAGCAUGUGGUUUAAUUCGAUGCAACGCGAAGAACCUUACCUGGUCUUGACAUCCACAGAACUUUCCAGAGAUGGACUGGUGCCUUCGGGAACUGUGAGACAGGUGCUGCAUGGCUGUCGUCAGCUCGUGUUGUGAAAUGUUGGGUUAAGUCCCGCAACGAGCGCAACCCUUAUCCUUUGUUGCCAGCGAUUCGGUCGGGAACUCAAAGGAGACUGCCAGUGAUAAACUGGAGGAAGGUGGGGAUGACGUCAAGUCAUCAUGGCCCUUACGACCAGGGCUACACACGUGCUACAAUGGCGCAUACAAAGAGAAGCGACCUCGCGAGAGCAAGCGGACCUCAUAAAGUGCGUCGUAGUCCGGAUUGGAGUCUGCAACUCGACUCCAUGAAGUCGGAAUCGCUAGUAAUCGUGGAUCAGAAUGCCACGGUGAAUACGUUCCCGGGCCUUGUACACACCGCCCGUCACACCAUGGGAGUGGGUUGCAAAAGAAGUAGGUAGCUUAACCUUCGGGAGGGCGCUUACCACUUUGUGAUUCAUGACUGGGGUGAAGUCGUAACAAGGUAACCGUAGGGGAACCUGCGGUUG